Molecule: long non-coding RNA, 226 nt
Organism: Myripristis murdjan (pinecone soldierfish)
Lineage: Eukaryota; Metazoa; Chordata; Actinopteri; Holocentriformes; Holocentridae
Exons: 2
Source: RefSeq, a predicted model, not a curated record
CGCUGACUGGAGCUCGCUCAGCCUCAGAGACACGAGGCUUUUCCAACACAUUUUUUCACAGCCAGAUUUCUGUUGAUUUGCAGAAGUGAUGGUGGUCAGAGCGGCUUCCUGAGGCUGCAUGUUCUGGGAUGAACAGGGCCCAGUGACUUCCCUGCAGGAGCAAAUCUGGACCCCCGGAGCCCAGCCCUGGCCCCGGGGGUCCAGUAAGCUAACCAUGGAGAAAUCC